UACAGAGGAGCCAAGCGUUGUCCGGAUUGACUGGGCGUAAAGCGCACGCAGGCGGACGCGCGCGUGGGGUGUGAAAUCUGGCCGCUUAACGGCCAGGCGCCAUCCCAUACGGCGCGUCUGGAGCAAUGCAGAGGUCGGUGGAAUUGCCGGUGUAGUGGUGAAAUGCGUAGAGAUCGGCAGGAACACCCAGGGGGAAACCAGCCGACUGGGCAUUUUCUGACGCUGAGGUGCGAGAGCGUGGGGAGCGAACCGG
Molecule: ribosomal RNA, 253 nt
Filed under: uncultured bacterium
Lineage: Bacteria
Description: partial 16S ribosomal RNA
Rfam family: Bacterial small subunit ribosomal RNA
Source: RNAcentral